CCGAAUUGUCGACACGAGCUGUUGCUGGUCCUCAAAUGGGGGCAUGUGCACGCUCUGUUUACACAUCCAUCCACUCACACCCCGUGCACCCUCUGUAGUUCUGUGACAUGGGGGACUCUGUCCUCCUGUUGUGGCUCUACGUUUUUACACGCACUCUGUAACAAAGUAUGACGGAAUGUAUGCCGCGUUUAACGCAAUACAAUA
This 204-nucleotide unclassified non-coding RNA is filed under the name uncultured Basidiomycota. RNAcentral describes it as "sequence contains ITS1". The record is from RNAcentral. Lineage: Eukaryota; Fungi; Basidiomycota.